This is a long non-coding RNA of Camponotus floridanus (Florida carpenter ant), 513 nucleotides long. RefSeq lists it as uncharacterized. The transcript has 3 exons. Lineage: Eukaryota; Metazoa; Arthropoda; Insecta; Hymenoptera; Formicidae. The record is from RefSeq and is a predicted model, not a curated record.
AUUUACAAUAGAAAAUGGAUAAUACUUUGACGUUCACAGCCUGUAUAUACAAUUUUGUAUACGCUUCAUCGGCAUCAAUACAUUGCGUAUAAAACAGAUAUAUACGACGCAGAAGCUUUCAAACUCUGGAAAAUUAAAUAGUAUAUAAUGAAUCAAUUUGCUCUGUAUGAUCGUCAGCCGCGUCUGCGAUCUCAUUAUCACAAACAGCAGAAUACGGCUAUCUCGGGGCUUGAGAGCGUACCAAAGCGAUUCAUAUGUCGCAUCACCGAUUGUUCUGCUCUAGAAUACAAACGAGGGACAAGUACAUGGAGAGGAUAGAAGGACGAAAAACACGAGAAGUCAUCUUCAGAAGCGACACUCGCGAACGUAGCGUUUUCUUCAUACUCACUUUAUUGCUGAGAUAUUCGCCGGAGAAACAAAAAAUAAAUGCCUCCAAAACGAUAGCGAUGUAGAAAAAUGCAGUCUUUAUCAACAUUCUGACGCCUUCAUUUGUGCCUAAUGACUGUAAGCCAG